AUGGUGGAUGCGCAUAUUCUAAUGGAGGAAGGUGCUAAGGAGACCUGUGCACUUGUCUUACGGUCAGCUCACUCUGUACUGUACCACUCCUGUAGAAUGGCCAUGCCAACCUCCCAGCACAGCUAUGGAAAGACCAUGGGCACAUAACAGUUUGUUGGACCAACCAUCCUCUCCUGCUACACCAAUGUAUCAGCGGACGCUACACAGACGCUACACAGACAGGCCUUCAUGCACUCUCGACUGCUAAGGGCAAGGGCACCGGACCACUUGCGCUGUGCUCCUAUGAAAGCCAACAUAUCACCCCACCACCUUACCGCUAUUAGUUCAUCAUGUUUUCCCCUCAAUGUUUUUGACUUCAUCUGAUUUGGUAUUGCAUGUAUGUUGAAUGUAUGCUUAAGCGGUGGCCUAGUGGUUAGAGAGUUGGUCUUUCAAUCUAGGAGUUGCAGGUUCGAAUCCCCCCUGACCUCUCCCUACAUCUCCAUCCAUGGCUGAAGUGCCCUUGAGCAAGGCACCUAACCCCACAUUGCUCCAGGAACUGUAACCAAUACCCUGAAAAAUAAUAACUGUAAGUCGCUUUGAAUAAAUGAAGGCGUCAACUAAGUGCAAUAUAAUGUAAUGUAAAAGUAGCUAGUUCUGGCCAUGUAAUAUUUAACACCUGAGAAUAAAGAGAAGAACAAAUUAUGAGUAACACAUUUACAGCCUACACAGUACAGCAACAGUGAGUUCAAUAGGAGAUAAAAUGGGAGGAAGGAACUAUGCAUCAUCUACUGGAAAUCAACACAAGAGUUUUACACAGUUGUGAAUAAUGCAACAUCUGCAAAGUUCAAGAUAUAUGCCUUGCAUGCCUUUAUUUUAGUAGCAUGACUUUUCAAAUCAUAAUUCACCUAUAUAGCCUAACAUUAUAGAUUUUUGAAA
Molecule: long non-coding RNA, 915 nt
Organism: Engraulis encrasicolus (European anchovy)
Lineage: Eukaryota; Metazoa; Chordata; Actinopteri; Clupeiformes; Engraulidae
Exons: 3
Source: RefSeq, a predicted model, not a curated record